This 1389-nucleotide unclassified non-coding RNA is filed under the name Hevea brasiliensis (rubber tree). Lineage: Eukaryota; Viridiplantae; Streptophyta; Magnoliopsida; Malpighiales; Euphorbiaceae. The record is from RNAcentral.
GUGGAGCCUUGUCGUUAAGGAUGUGGCGUCAUCUACAAAUAACCAACUCUAUCCAACUGAAACCCUAAACCCCUCCUCCACUGUAAAAUCCCAAGCAAUGAGCCCCCACGAUUCCCCCUGUCAAACCCAUGAAGAAGAACAACUUCAACUCUCCAAUCCUCAAUCAACUGGCUCCGCUGAUGAAAACAACGGUGGCGAUAGCCACGGUGAGAAGCGAAAGAGACAGGAGAUAGCACAAUCAGAAACGGAAGAAAAAGUUGACCCUUCACUUAAUCCGUAUUAUAAAACCUCACUCUGUUCGUAUUUCAGGCGGAACUCGGGGUCCUGCAGCCAUGGCAUUGAGUGCAAAUACGCGCAUGGCGAGGAGGAGCUCCGUCCGCGUCCUGAUAACACUUGGGACCCGACCUCCGAGCGGGCGAAGAAAGCGAUGAAAUUGGAUUAUAAUGGUGAUAAAUGUGAGAAGAGGGAUGAGGAUGAGAUUAUGAUGACUGAAGUGCUUGUUGAUGAUGGUGAAGGGGGGUGUUUGGAUCCUGGGCUUAGUAAGUGCUUGGUGCAUCUACCCAGGAAGUGGAAUUCGGAUAACUUGAGGAACUUUCUCAGUGAGCAAGGUGUUCUCUUCAAAUUGGCAAAGAAAAAGAAAGGCAUGACUGUAGGUUUUGUGACUUUUGACAGAGCUGACCAAUUGAGAAGAGCAAGUGAGGAGCUUGAAGGAAGAUCUGUUGGCAACAAGAAAAUAAAAGUUGCUGAUGUGAUCCCCCGAUCAUAUGAUGGGAAAAUAAAAUCAGCCAUGGCUCUCCCCCAAAAUGCUCCACAAAAAAUGGCGUCUUCAUUGGAGGGAGAAAAUGCUGGGAUCUCUAAAUCUUUACAUGUUACGGAGGAUGAUGAUACAAAGGAUGACAGUUCAAUGUUAGAUGGUUCAAGUUCCAAGGCAAAAAGUGCCCGUGAUGUAGUGACUCCCCUUGCUCAUAUGCCUUAUGAAGACCAGUUGGAGCACAAGAAGAACUCUAUUAUGCAAAUGCUAAAAAAACUUACUAGAAAUGCUCGUAAAGCAUGUCCAAAUGGUGUUUCUUUGCCAGAAUGGAUUCUCAAGUCUAGGGAAAUAGGUGGUCUUGCAUGCAACCUUGAGGGUAUACUGGAUUCACCACUUGUGAAUGGUUACCGUAAUAAAUGCGAGUUUUCAGUUGGAUAUUCUCUUCAUGGAAAACCUAUUGUUGGGUUUAUGCUAGGAAACUUUAGAGAUGGCGUGACAGCUGUAGAAGAACCUGUUGACUGCCCAAAUGUUUCUAGUAUUGCUUGCAAGUAUGCUUCAAUUUUUCAGGAAUUUCUGCAACAAUCAGGCUUGCCAAUUUGGAACAGAUUUAAGAAUACUGGAUUCUGGCGUCAAUUAAC